UUCAAGUAAUGGGGCUUCCAGUGGGGACAUAUGGUUAUUUUAUCCAGUUCGCAUGUUUCUUUCACUUUGCCUAUAAAUUGGCUGGUCACAAAAAUUGGGUCUGCAGACCAGAGGUCUAGCUGAAGUUCACAGAAAGCGAUGAGGAGCGAAAGAGCACAGAGUAUUCGCGUGCCUUCCCAAAUUUCCCUGCUGCGAUUCCCCACACAGCGCCCUCCUUCUCAAUUCUGACCUGCCCCAGAAAGACUUCUUGGCUCCGAUGACUGCAAACCCUGCUCUGUUUUAUUAGUCAUCAUCCAUUCCAUCUCCCCGCAUAGAUUGGAAACUCUCCGAGCUAAACUGGGAGCCUUUGGCAAAGAGGCCGCAUCUAGCCCCCAGCUCCGUUUCAUCUCACUCGAAGGACAGGUUCCCAAUGUCCCGUGUCUCACUUGCACCUGUGGUUGCGCAAAACACCGCGCCUUUCAGUGUCUUUCAUAGCAAGAUCCAAACAAGGGCCAUAAAAGGAUGGUUUUACUCUUUGGGCAUCUUCUCUCGGUUUUUUCUUCGGACGGUAUUUCUCCCUUUUUGUGUGUGCGAGUCUGGAGGUGUGUUGCUCUGUGUGGCUAUGAAUCGUUCCUUUCCAUGAGUUCUAACCUGUUUCCUCUUUAUCUCCCCCCCCACACGUCAUCUCCACACCCCACCACCAUCCGUUGCCUUCUCUCCUGUAGCCGAUUAUAAGAAGUUCAGAGCAUUCUUUGAAUUUUUCUUGUUGUACUUAUUAAAGACUUUGUAAUGCUUUUUAUAUUAAAAGCAGGGAAAUGGAAUUUUUAUUUUAUUAAAAAAAUGUAAAUCAAGAGUUUCUUUAAUUCUUUUUUUUUUUUUUUCCAUUUUAGAUUAGUGGGCCUGAAUGAAAAUAAAGUAGGGACAUUUCUCACCACUACCCUAGAGAGUAAAGAAUUCUGUCUUCUGAAUCACAUACCUCCCCGCAGCAUCUUGGACAGAAAUAGGUAUACAAUAUGGAUUUAGUAAAUACUAUUUGGCCAACUGGUUUCUGAAUUUCUGACAGUGUCAGAAGGAAAUUACUCGCUCUGCUUUUAACAGUUUAUAUCAUACUGACCUUUUGUUUCCUUCUAGAAUAAGUGAAAA
This is a long non-coding RNA of Mustela lutreola (European mink), 1122 nucleotides long. RefSeq lists it as uncharacterized. NCBI's taxonomy places the organism in Eukaryota, Metazoa, Chordata, Mammalia, Carnivora, Mustelidae. The transcript is spliced from 3 exons. The record is from RefSeq and is a predicted model, not a curated record.